ACUGAAUGGGCUAGGGCAUACACCAAUGUACCAAACCCUAUCAAACUCCGAAUACCUAGUGUGUAAUCAUGGCAGUCAGGCGGCGAGUGAUAAAAUCCGUCGUCGAGAGGGGAACAACCCAGACUAACAGCUAAGGUCCCUAAAUCUCAUUUAAGUGGAAAACGAUGUGGAGUUACUUAAACAACCAGGAGGUUGGCUUAGAAGCAGCCAUCCUUUAAAGAAAGCGUAAUAGCUCACUGGUCUAGUGAUUCUGCGCGGAAAAUAUAACGGGGCUAAAAUGAGUACCGAAGCUUUAGACUUAGUUUUACUAAGUGGUAGGAGAGCGUUGCAUUCAGCGUCGAAGGUGUACCGGUAAGGAGCGCUGGAGCGAAUGCAAGUGAGCAUGCAGGCAUGAGUAGCGAUAAUUGGGGUGAGAAUCCCCAACGCCGUAAACCCAAGGUUUCCUACGCGAUGCUCGUCAUCGUAGGGUUAGCCGGGUCCUAAGCAAAGUCCGAAAGGGGUAUGCGAUGGAAAAUUGGUUAAUAUUCCAAUGCCAACUAUAAUGUGCGAUGGAAGGACGCUUAGAGUUAAGCAAGCUAGCGGAUGGUAGUGCUAGUCGAAAGGUGUAGGUUAAGAUCCAGGCAAAUCCGGAUCUUUUUAAGCCGAGACCCCACAGGCGUUUGAAGUUCUUCGGAAUGGAUAGCGAAUUGCUGAUACUGUCGAGCCAAGAAAAGUUUCUAAGUUUAGUUAUAGUUGCCCGUACCGUAAACCGACACAGGUGGGUGGGAUGAGUAUUCUAAGGCGCGUGGAAGAACUCUCUUCAAGGAACUCUGCAAAAUAGCACCGUAUCUUCGGUAUAAGGUGUGCCUAACUUUGUUAAGGAUUUACUCCGUAAGCAUUGAAGGUUACAACAAAGAGUCCCUCCCGACUGUUUACCAAAAACACAGCACUCUGCUAACUCGUAAGAGGAUGUAUAGGGUGUGACGCCUGCCCGGUGCUCGAAGGUUAAUUGAUGACGUUAGCUCUGCGAAGCGUUUGAUCGAAGCCCGAGUAAACGGCGGCCGUAACUAUAACGGUCCUAAGGUAGCGAAAUUCCUUGUCGAUUAAAUAUCGACCUGCAUGAAUGGCGUAACGAGAUGGGAGCUGUCUCGAAGAGGGAUCCAGUGAAAUUGUAGUGGAGGUGAAAAUUCCUCCUACCCGCGGCAAGACGGAAAGACCCCGUGGACCUUUACUACAGCUUGACACUGCUAUUGGGAUAAAAAUGUGCAGGAUAGGUGGGAGGCUUUGAUCCAUAGACGCCAGUUUAUGGUGAGCCGUUGUUGAGAUACCACUCUUUUUUAUUCUGAUAGCUAACUAGCUUGAGUUAUCCUCAAGUAGGACAAUGUCUGGUGGGUAGUUUGACUGGGGCGGUCGCCUCCCAAAAUGUAACGGAGGCUUACAAAGGUUGGCUCAGAACGGUUGGAAAUCGUUCGUAGAGUAUAAAGGCAUAAGCCAGCUUAACUGCAAGACAUACACGUCAAGCAGAGACGAAAGUCGGUCUUAGUGAUCCGGUGGUUCUGUGUGGAAGGGCCAUCGCUCAAAGGAUAAAAGGUACCCCGGGGAUAACAGGCUGAUCUCCCCCAAGAGCUCACAUCGACGGGGAGGUUUGGCACCUCGAUGUCGGCUCAUCGCAUCCUGGGGCUGUAGUCGGUCCCAAGGGUUGGGCUGUUCGCCCAUUAAAGCGGUACGCGAGCUGGGUUCAGAACGUCGUGAGACAGUUCGGUCCCUAUCUGCCGUGGGCGUAAGAAGAUUGAGGAGAGUUGACCCUAGUACGAGAGGACCGGGUUGAACCGACCACUGGUGUACCGGUUGUUCUGCCAAGAGCACCGCCGGGUAGCUAAGUCGGGAUGCGAUAAGAGCUGAAAGCAUCUAAGCUCGAAGCCGACUCCAAGAUGAAUCUUCUUUUAAGAGCUCUAGUAGACUACUAGUUUGAUAGGCCGGAUGUGUAAUGGAUGAAAGUCCUUUAGCUGACCGGUACUAAUAGCUCGUUUGCUUAUCUUUU
RNAcentral lists this ribosomal RNA (2020 nucleotides) under human metagenome. Its description in RNAcentral is "bacterial LSU rRNA". It matches the Rfam family "Bacterial large subunit ribosomal RNA", at positions 909 to 2925 of the family's 2925-position model. The record is from RNAcentral.